This 253-nucleotide ribosomal RNA is filed under the name uncultured bacterium. RNAcentral's name for it is "partial 16S ribosomal RNA". It matches the Rfam family "Bacterial small subunit ribosomal RNA", at positions 524 to 776 of the family's 1533-position model. The record is from RNAcentral.
UACAGAGGGGGCAAGCGUUAUUCGGAAUUAUUGGGCGUAAAGGGCGCGUAGGCGGCUUGGCAAGUGGACGGUGAAAUCCCUCGGCUUAACCGAGGAACUGCCGUCCAAACUGCUUCGCUUGAGACCGGGAGAGGUGAGUGGAAUUCCCAGUGUAGCGGUGAAAUGCGUAGAUAUUGGGAGGAACACCAGUGGCGAAGGCGGCUCACUGGACCGGUACUGACGCUGAUGCGCGAAAGCGUGGGGAGCAAACGGG